This 330-nucleotide ribosomal RNA is filed under the name Mycolicibacterium goodii. Its description in RNAcentral is "bacterial SSU rRNA". It matches the Rfam family "Bacterial small subunit ribosomal RNA", at positions 188 to 533 of the family's 1533-position model. Lineage: Bacteria; Bacillati; Actinomycetota; Actinomycetes; Mycobacteriales; Mycobacteriaceae. The record is from RNAcentral.
AUGGCCUGGUGGGGGAAAGCUUUUGCGGUGUGGGAUGGGCCCGCGGCCUAUCAGCUUGUUGGUGGGGUGAUGGCCUACCAAGGCGACGACGGGUAGCCGGCCUGAGAGGGUGACCGGCCACACUGGGACUGAGAUACGGCCCAGACUCCUACGGGAGGCAGCAGUGGGGAAUAUUGCACAAUGGGCGCAAGCCUGAUGCAGCGACGCCGCGUGAGGGAUGACGGCCUUCGGGUUGUAAACCUCUUUCAGCACAGACGAAGCGCAAGUGACGGUAUGUGCAGAAGAAGGACCGGCCAACUACGUGCCAGCAGCCGCGGUAAUACGUAGGGU